GAUCAACGCUGGCGGCGUGCCUAAUGCAUGCAAGUCGAGCGGGGUGGUCUUCGGAUCACUUACGCGGCGGACGGGUGCGUAACACGUGGGCAAUCUGCCCUGGGGGUGGGGGAUAGCCGUGGGAAGCCGCGGGUAAUUCCGCCUACGUUCUUUCGUCGGCAGGACGGGAGAAGAAAGGCUCGGCAACGAGUCGCCCUGGGAGGAGCCUGCGGCCGAUUAGCUAGACGGUGGGGUAACGGCCUACCGUGGCGGNGAUCGGUAGCUGGUCUGAGAGGACGGCCAGCCACACGGGGACUGAGACACGGCCCCGACUCCUACGGGAGGCAGCAGUGGGGAAUCUUGCGCAAUGGGCGAAAGCCUGACGCAGCGACGCCGCGUGAGGGAUGACGGCCUCGGUU
RNAcentral lists this ribosomal RNA (398 nucleotides) under uncultured bacterium. Its description in RNAcentral is "bacterial SSU rRNA". It matches the Rfam family "Bacterial small subunit ribosomal RNA", at positions 28 to 424 of the family's 1533-position model. The record is from RNAcentral.